MicroRNA precursor from Arabis alpina (gray rockcress), 128 nucleotides. It matches the Rfam family "MIR396 microRNA precursor family". Lineage: Eukaryota; Viridiplantae; Streptophyta; Magnoliopsida; Brassicales; Brassicaceae. The record is from Rfam.
GGUCAUAUUUUUCCACAGCUUUCUUGAACUUUCUUUUUCAUAUCCCAUUUUUUCUUAAAUUCUCCGACAUUUAGCACUCUGGUAACAAAAAAAGGGAAGCUCAAGAAAGCUGUGGGAAAACAUGACAA